This 514-nucleotide ribosomal RNA is filed under the name uncultured bacterium. RNAcentral's name for it is "partial 16S ribosomal RNA". It matches the Rfam family "Bacterial small subunit ribosomal RNA", at positions 28 to 523 of the family's 1533-position model. The record is from RNAcentral.
GAUGAACGCUGGCGGCGUGCCUAAUACAUGCAAGUCGAGCGAACUGAUUAGAAGCUUGCUUCUAUGACGUUAGCGGCGGACGGGUGAGUAACACGUGGGCAACCUGCCUGUAAGACUGGGAUAACUUCGGGAAACCGAAGCUAAUACCGGAUAGGAUCUUCUCCUUCAUGGGAGAUGAUUGAAAGAUGGUUUCGGCUAUCACUUACAGAUGGGCCCGCGGUGCAUUAGCUAGUUGGUGAGGUAACGGCUCACCAAGGGAACGAUGCAUAGCCGACCUGGGAGGGGGAUCGACAACACUGGGACUGAGACACGGCCCAGACUCCGACGGGAGGCAGCAGUAGGGAAUCUUCCGCAAUGGACGAAAGUCUGAAGGAGCAACGCCGCGUGAGGGAUGAAGGCUUUCGGGUCGUAAAACUCUGUUGUUAGGGAAGAACAAGUACGAGAGUAACUGCUCGUACCUUGACGGUACCUAACCAGAAAGCCACGGCUAACUACGUGCCAGCCGCCGCAGUAA